RNAcentral lists this long non-coding RNA (23693 nucleotides) under Oryza sativa (Asian cultivated rice). RNAcentral describes it as "long non-coding RNA (OSAT_LNC000328)". The record is from RNAcentral. Lineage: Eukaryota; Viridiplantae; Streptophyta; Magnoliopsida; Poales; Poaceae.
AAAAAAGAAAAAAGAAAAAACUCUCCUGUCCCCCCGGCAGCCGCGGCCGCUGUUCCCUUCUCGAUGCCCUAGCAUCCUCGCCGCCGGGAACCGCGAACCCUAGCCCUCUCCUCCGCCCUUCUCCGGGAAGGGAAUCGAUUCAUCUCCGCCCUCCCUACCCGCUGCUGCCUCCUCACGCGGCGGCGCAAUCUCCGUCACCGGCGGCGGCGGCGGCGGCGGGAGGUGGGGUGUCCACGAACGAACGCCGUGCGGGCUAUGGAGUGAUGAUGCCUUCUUCUCCUCCCGACAUGUAUGAGGUACGGUCGAAGACGCGCGCAACUCGCGAUUUCCACUCUGUUCUCCGCAACUUCCCGUGCGAGGUAGUAGAUGCUGUGCUGUGAGGGGGGUUUUUGAUUGAUUUCGUCUCCUCCCAAAUCCAAUCCAGAAACAGGCACUUGUUCAUGGUGGAGAUGAUGAGCUGCUGGCACGGGCCGGCCCUCCUCCCAUGGAGGACGUGCUGAUGCACAUCCUUCCAGUUGAUUCCGAACAGGUGAGAUCGCUAUCACAUAUAUAUAGCCAAUGUAUGUACCCUCGCCAUUGCAUCUUUUGCAGAGAAUUGCAGAGAAUUGGAAUCGGUUAAGUGCUUUCGGUGAAAUUGACCUUUUUAAGAGAUCUGUUCUCCAGGUUUUUGCUCGUGUAAACAAUCUGGGGAAUGAAAUUUCUCCUGUACAAGCCUGGUGCCAACCAGAGCUGCGCGGCGAAAAGGUUUAACUUGAACAUUAUCUGUUUACCUACCGCGUUCAUCCAUCAGACAAUGACAUACAUAAAUUUGGCAAAAUGCAGCUAUAGGUAGUAACAAAGACUUGGCUAAUUGCUUUGUCUCACAUACAUGUAUUACAGACCAGUAACAAUGAUGGGCAAACGGUGAUAACUCCAGUCGAGUUGAUCAAGGUAUUUAGAAUCACUUUGACUUUUUAGAAUCACUUUGUGCCUGGCAUUAACUGCGAAACGAAAUGCAGAAACCUGUUGAGAAGCAAGUGAUAACAGAAGGAAGACUGCAGCUCGCUGGUGAUGGCUAUCAGGUAUGAAAACCAGACAAUGCUUAUGGAGAGGUUUAAUAUGGACAUUUGAAUAUGGCAGUGAAUAGCUACCUUAACAAGAAAUAUUCAAUUGCAUGCGUGCAGCUGCUAUCUUCAAAUGGCAUAGACAAAACUGCAGAACAACUAUACGUGGAUCAAUUAGGGAGACAAACCAACUCAAUGGACCAAUCACUGCAGCAUACUGAUGGACAAAACCAAUCACAUGAUAAUAUGGAAAGCAAUGAAGUGUCAAGCGAUGAUAGAAACAGUGAUGGCGAUUCUGACAGAAGCCUAGGAAAUGAAUCAGAUAAAGGGCUUGGAGCACACUAUAGUCCUAGUUUAAUGGAAUUGGAUAAUGCAAGACCACCAGAACUUGGAAUGAAAUUUGCAACACUUGAAGAUGCACAGAGAUUCUAUGAGACACAUGCUCUUAAAACUGGCUUUGUUGCAAAGCGGGGGACGAACUACAGGAGAAAAAAGUUUACCAUAGAGUGCCACAAGACUGGCACAUCAAAGCUAACUCCGAACCCACAGAGGAAGAGGAAGAAAAAUAUUAUAGAGAGGACUCAAUGCCAGGCAAAGGUGGUAGUGAAGCUCAAUAAGGGACAAUGGGAGUAUGCAGCAGUCCGGAAUGAACACAACCAUCCAUUGUGUCCUAGCUAUUCGCUUAGAUUCUCAAAGCGCAAACGCAGGCGAAAUCCUCCAAGCCAGAAACAGCUGGAUGUUCAGAGAAAUAGUGACCAACUGACACAGGCAGAUAAUCUUGAGGAACGGUUGUCGCAACCUCUUAUUUCAGCUGAUUCAAAUGAAGUAAGCUUGCUAACAAAGGUUCCCCAGAUAUUUUUGUUUUGUAUACAUGUGAUGGAAGUGAUUUUUUAAUGAUCUGUUAUCCUGGUUGUACCUCAGGUAAACAACAAAAGGAUGCCUAGACAUGCAGAGAUUAGUAUAUCUACUGUAGAGAAGGAACCUGUUGACAAACUACAGCGAGCUGGUGAUUAUCAGGUAUGAAAAGGUGAAAUCUAACAAGAGUACCAAUAAUAAGGUAUCAAAUAGUAGCUUAACGUAAGUUAUUCUCUUGCAUGCAGGAGCAAUCUUCAAAUGGCAUAGACAAAAAUACAGAACGACCAAUUGUAGAUAAAUUGGGAGACCAAACAAGCUCGAUAGACCAUUCACUUCAGCAUACUGAAGAGCAUAACAGAUCACAUGAUAAUGUGGAAAGCAGUGAAGCGCCAAGCGAGGAUACAAGCAGUGAAAGCAAUUCAGACAGCAGCUCAGGUGAUGAGUCGGAUAAGGAGCUUGGGAAGUACUUCUAUCCUAGUUUCGACGAACUGAAGAAUUCAAGACCACCAGAACCCGGAAUGAAAUUUCCAUCCCUUCAAGCCGCACAAAGAUUCUAUUACGCACAUGCUCUCCUUACUGGUUUUGUAGGAAAGAGGGGAACCAACUACAAGAGAAAGAAGUUUCACUUAGAAUGCAACAAGAGUGGCAAAAUGAAGUUAACGAAGUCAUCUGAAAACCCAAUGAAGAAGAGGAGAAGCAAUCUUGUAGAGAAGACACAAUGCAAGGCAAGGGUGAUAGUGAAACUCGAUAAGGGAGAAUGGGAGUUCACAGCAGUUCGCCAUGAGCACAAUCAUCCGUUAUGCCCAAGCCCUUUGCUUGCAAGAUUCAUAGUAGACCACAAACAAAUGUCAACUGGAGAGAAGUCAUUUUUAAGAGUUCUGCAACAAAAUAGGGUACCUCCUAAGAAAAUUAUGAAGAUUUUCAGGAAACUAAGAGUUUGUUUCGGAGACAUACCAUUUGAAAAUAAAGAUGAGCACAACAUAGCACAGACAGAACAUAGAAAAGCAAACUCAGAUGUUGAAAGCGCAUUGAAGCACUUCACAGAAUUGCAGAUUCAAAACCCAGAAUUUCUGUACGUAAUGCAAAAAGAUGAGGACAACACAGUUACAAGCAUCUUCUGGACUGAUGCAAGAUUGAGGAUCGAGUAUGAUAUUUUCGGAGAUCUCAUUAUGUUUGAUGCUGCCUAUAGCACUGAUAUGUAUAACAUGCCUUUUGUGCCUAUUAUUGGAAUAAAUAGCCACGCGACACCCUUCCUGUUAGGAUGUGCUUUGUUAAAAGAUGAGAAAGUAGAAACCUUCGAAUGGAUGUUGCGUACAUUUUUGCAAGUGAUGGGAGGAAAAAUGCCAAGAGCGGUCAUAACAAACCAGGACACAUCAAUGGAGAAGGCAUUUGCAGAACUCAUGCCGCAUGUAAGGCUUAGGUUUUGCAAGCGGCAUGUUAUGAGCAAAGCUCAGGAAAAGCUUGGAGACUUCAUGACAGCAAGAGGUAACAUAAAUACAGAUCUACAUAACUUAGUAGGCAACUCGCUGGUAGAAACAGAAUUUGAAGAAGGAUGGGUUGAGCUUAUUGAGAGAUACAAUGCAAGUGAAAACCAACACCUGCAACUCAUGUGGCAAACAAGAAAAAGUUGGGCACCUGUCUAUUUUAGAGAAGAUCUCUACCCAUUUAUUGACUCAGUUGGUUCCAACGAGGGAAUAAACUCAUUAUUUAAAGGUAAUAUGCUUCCAAAGGACACAAUAGAUAAGUUCAUUGGGCAAUUUAAGGAGAUACAAGAGAAUAUAGCAAAAGUUCAUGAAGAAGAUAGAUUUCAGUCAGGAGCUGACCUUAAAUACAUCUCAAUGCAACCAAUAGAACAACAUGCAGCACAUAUUUACACAAGGGAAAUAUUUCUGAAAGUACAGGAAGAACUACUACAUUCUACUGCAUUCAACGUGCAGGAGAUACAAAUAGGGACAGUGUACAGACUUGAAAAGGUCUUCAACUAUGAGAACCCAGAGUUUGAUAGAAAUUAUUUUGAAGUGCUUGCUGAACCUGGCAUCAAUGCAUUCAAGUGCCAAUGUGCAAAAUUUACAAGGGAUGGAAUACCUUGCUGCCACAUAUUCAGACUUUUCACUCAGUUUGGAAUCAAUGAAAUACCAGAGCAGUACAUAAUGCCCAGAUGGACUAAAAAAUUCAGAGAGGAGCAGCUAAAACAGAACAAGGAAAAAUUAUUUGACAAGCAUGGUAUAAAGGAUUCAGAAAAUACAUUGAGAUAUGCAAUGCUAAUGAGUAAAGCGGCUGAAAUUUGCCCGAAAAUUUGCCAUGAUGAAGCAAAAUGCAGCAUAUUCAUGCAGGAACUAGACAAGAUUCAAGAGAAGUUGAUAACGGAGAGCAGAGAAAAUGCACAGAAUGAUAACCCAUGUCGUGAACAAGGGGCCUUGCAACAGGAGCAUCGUGGGAGCAGUAGCAAUACAGAGCAAGAGCAACAGCAUACAGGUGGCUUGUAAGGCACAGUGAUGCUUGGUCCAAAAUGUGCAGUGGGUCAGUAGAGCAUUACGGGAGUGAGCCAAUUGAUCUCUUUGUGCGGGUUCUGGUCUUCUGGAGGAGACUAUUUUGUCCAGGAAGUAGAAUGGUUAGUAUAGUUAGUUUAGCUGAAGUUAGUUGUGGUAAACUUGUCUGUUAGGAAAGUGUUGGUCGAGAGCAGGAAGACGUGUAAAGAUGCAUUGUAUCUAUUAGCUCUCCUGUCUAAACAUGCAUCUUGGUUCGCGGCAGUAUGGGAAGCUGAUAGUUAAUUGACAUCUGUGUUCGCCAAUUUUGCAGGUAUGCCUUCUUUUUUUGUCUGCCUUUGUUGGUUUCAAAAUGAUUUAGUGUGUAUUUGUUGCAAUGCCAUUUCGUUGAAUCGCCUGUAAUAUGUUUCAUAGGUUUUGAUGUAGUAUGUUCCGUGCGCUUUGGUCUUGAUUGUAUGAUCUUUGUUUCUUAUACUGUUUAUGGGUAAAUAGGGAGAUGUAUAUUGUUCUGUUUGUGUUAGCAUGUAAAAUUUCAUAUCAUUAAAUUGUUCUCGUCUUUUCUCAAAAAAAAGUCAUCUUCUGUUUUGAAAAGAUAAUGCGAUUCAAGUUUUUUUUGCCAUUUUGUGCCAUGCCCCCCGCGGGCGUCAUGUAGACUAGCUUAAACUUGCUGUAAACGAUUCAUCUUUCUGCAUAUUGAAGAAUUAUAGGUCUUACUUUUUCAGUAACAAGCUAUCCGUUGAUUUGCUUCUUAAUUAUAAGUUGAUGCAAACUUGGUUUGUUAGCUUUCAAAUCCUCUGCUUACUACCGUAUUUUUGUUGAUGCAAUUUCUAAUGAUAAAUAAGCUUUCGAGUCCCUUCCUUUAAUAGUUUGAAAGUAAUCUCAAAUUUUAGCUUCCAAAAAUUCUCUUUCCGAAUCAUUUUCACAGUUUUAUUAACCCGGGCUGUUCUUUGUUGUUGCACCAAAUUUGCAAGUCUAGUUUGAGGAAUUAUUAUUUUUAUAGGUAAAUUGGAACCAUGCCAUUAUAAUUUUGCAAAGUUUGAGAUAUGUCAUCAGUAUCUCAAUGACAUGGAGGACCCACGUGAGUCAAUGACAUGUAGGUCAGGAUGGCAUAUCUCAAAUUUUAUAAAAUUAUAAUGGCAUGUAGGUCAGGAUGGCAUAUCUCAAAUUUUACAAAAUUAUAAUGGCAUGGUUCCAAUUUUCCCUAUUUUGAUAUAAGGGCAAAUCUUUUCCUGCAACAUCAAAGCAAUCCACAUUCCACGCUGAAUACGUAUGGAACAAGUGACUGUCAUUGUAAAUAGGCGUGUGUCGAAUUGCCAGGUUGACAAGAAAAUUACUUGUAAAUCUUUGUACCUUUUUAUUUGACGAUAUUUAUUAUGAAUGAGGAAGAAUAUUAACGGUGAAUUUCAGGGAUGAUAUGCUUGUUCACAUUGCAUAUUUUUUCCACGCAAAGUAUGCAUUUUUUUUCCCUCACAAGUCAUAAUACUGAUGGAUCCUCUUGGCGUUAAAUGUUCCCUUUGUCUUGUUUAAGAUUAAAAUUGGAUGAAGAGGCGUAGACCUUGGAUUCAAGACUCAACGGCCUGUUUUGGUUAGAAGUUUUUAGGAGGGAUUGAGAGUUUAGAAGGAUGAGGCUAUUAAGUGUUUUAUUUGGUUGAGAGACAUGGGAGUUUUGGUAGGAUGGGAAUGGGGAAUUGUGGAAGGAACUCCCUCCUUUUCAAUACCUGGGUAGGGGCAGAUAAUUGGGAGGGAAUUUCUCCUUUACUUUGUCUAAGCAAAUCUCAUCCAUCCGUUUUUAUUAAUGAUCUAAUCUCCAACUAAACUCCGUAUCAAUUUUCAUCGCCUCUACCAAACAAGAUAUUGGGAUUAAAAAUCAAAUUCUCAUCUUAAUCUCAUCAUCAAUUCCCUCGUGUAAACUCUCAAUCCCCUUCUCUGAAGUGGAGUUCAGAAAGGACCAAGAAGCUAGAUCUAUGAAAGGACCACAACAAGUGGCGAAAAGAGUUCCUCUUUUGAACUCAAUAUCACUAAAAUCAACUCAUUCAACUACGUGAUAGCAGUAUGCAAUAUAGGAUGGCUUCCUGCCUCUACUGAUACCAGCGCUGUCGGAUCCCAAAACUAACGAUUCAGAAACCGACAUAUUUAACUGUAUCAAGCCCUGGAUCAGUAGGUUGAUACAGGUUCAAUAAUCUGGAUCUUCAUUGCAUACAUUUGGUCAAGGCUCCAAAGGAGAUAUCUUUAUAUAUAAAAUAAUAGGACAUUUACAAGUUUGUGGCUAACUAUUACAGCAGAAGCUAUACGAUGACCCAACUCUAUCGUUUUACUAUAGAACUAAACCGUCUAACUAUACUAGACUUGAAGACUAGGUUUAAAGGGAACUAACUUAUGUGAUUGAACUCCCAGCUUUGGCAAAAACUCCAAAUAGACUCUGAAAAAAGGGGUUGAAGCAAGGGUGAGUACAUGCCAAUCACCCCGGCCGCCUGCAGGCUCAGUUUGGGGAGAAUCGGUAAUCAACUUCAGAGAAUCUAGAGAAGCUACUAACCCAGCUUUUAGCUAUAGUUCAUUUUCUAGAUUCUACAACUACAAAAUCUCAUAAUCAACUACAAAAUCUCAUAAUAGAGUGACAAUCUUACAGUUUAAAUGGAUAGAAACUCCCUAAACAAGCCUUAGCUUGGUCCACAACAAGGUGAGAAUGAUGAGGCAUACCGACAUUUAGGCUAACCUCACCUUCCACGCACUAAAACGGAGUAAUGCUUCUUUUGCAAAAGACGCACCGUUUAUCAAUUUAAAAAACGUGCACAACACGAGCGAAGUGAGUUGAAAAAGGUAGGGGGAGAAACCCAUUAGAUUAAGGCCAUUGAACGGUCGGAUGCAAGGGAGUGAGUACCACCGCUGCCUUGCAACACGCAAGUUGGUUAUUUAGAUGAUUCGUCUUCAAGAAUCCUUGAGAUAGGAAGGAUACGCUCCGAAGUUUGGAGCUCAGAUGAACAAAGCGCAUUGCACAAAUGAUGUACGAAGGAUGCUUCACAGGGCUGGUGUCCAUCAUGCAAAGCAUUCAUCGAGCUGAUAGAGUGAUAGUUGAGAAUCGGCGUUCUGGGAAACAAUUCUAAAAGACAGCUCUACACAUACCGAAACACAACUAGUACAACACAAAGCAAAACAAAAUAACACAACAGCAUCAGGCAAUACAUAAACAGGAAAAGAAGGAUCGAAAUCCGGGCAAACAGUUACUCUCAUCUCAUCAAGAUAACAAUACCCUAUUGGCAUCAGUUCUAUCAGACCCCGAAGAUUUUAUGCGAUGCAAGAAAAGAAGAAACGCAAUACCACGACAUGACUGAGUGCCAAUAUCAUAGCGUGAUGUGGUACCGUGAGGAGAAGAAAUGAUCCCAUCAGAACUCAUGGAAUCAAUUAAAUUUUCUAGGUAUAUGACAUUCUGAACAAAUCGAGGCAUCUUUGUUCAAAAUAGAACAUUUUCAAAAAGGCAAGCUGAACGUUAGGUGAUAUAAAUAACUUUCCCAAAGCAUCUUCUCUAGCUUACACAACAGAAAGCAAUGAGCAUCUAUGUAAAAAUUAUAAUCACUCAUAACCGCAUACAAGCAAAAUACUGAAACUGUCCAUUGGAACAUCACCUAACAUUUACCAAUGUAUUGUCACCAAAAUCAAAAUAGAAUCAUCAACCAUGCCAUUAUCCCCAUGAUAUAACUCAAUCAGAUUGUACAAAUUUAGGCGCAGACUUGUCACAAAGCAUUGUUAGCCAGAACAACUGUAGUCUAAAAAAACAUAAACAGCCAAACCACAAUCCCACAAUACUUGAUGCAAAACAUCCAGACCUACCACUAAACUGUCUAAGCUCAACACUGAAGUAGGAUAGGACAAUUACACUUUUUUUAAUCUAUCUAAGAUUUCUACAAGGAUCAUAGUGCAGCCACUGAUUGCAACAACUAAAAGAAUGAAAUAAGUUACUUAUAGACGUCCUAUUUCAUUACUUUGCAUUCGGAUUCAAAUCCAACAAUGCAAACAAAUAAGCAGCUAGCCAAUUGAACCUUAAUACUUGAAGCAUAACAUAAACAGCUAACAUACAUAACAGUGCAUAGCCAACCAUGUAAUCCAUCCAACCAAAGAAACCAAGUGCUACCAAUCACCUUGCACACCAUGAAACAAACAAAUCGAUACCUAAACACUAAUCAGGCAACCUAUCGCAAGUUGCACUACCAUUACCAAAGAAUUGCCUAAGAUUACAGUUGCUAAAUUUUGAUAGCCAUGCGAGUUAGUAGACCUAAUUAAGUUGCAAAUCAUGUCCGCAAAACACUGUUGGGCACAUCGCAAUGAAUCACCGCUGGAAAUGGAGGAACAUGGAAAACAAAUCGCAUCUGAAGCAGUGUAAUUCCCAAACAAAACUUCAACCAGAUCUAUCCUUGGCAUGACUUCAUAACACAUGAGCAUCAUCAUGUCUUAAUUUUAAACUCAAUACUAACAACCAAGUCUUCAUGGACACAGAUACCAAAAAAAGCAGAUAUAGAUUAACGGAUGAUAGCAAGAACAAGAAGGCGCGCCUAGAAGCGGAGCUUGGUGAAGAACCACCUGUUCUUGCCGGUCUUGAACCUCUCCUCGAGGCGAGCCUUGGCGGCCUUGCAGGCGGCCACCUUCUUGUCGCGGGUGGCGAGGGCGUCGGGUCCCCCGGAGGCCACGUCCUUGAAGUCGACGUCGAGGGUGUAGCGGGUGGGCAUGAUGUGGGUGAAGUUGACGAGCUUGAGGAAGCACUUGACCCUCGACUUCUUCGCCGUCUUCUUCGCCGAGUCCUUGCGGAUCACCUUCUUCGGGUACUUGGCGAGGCCGGCGACGAGGCAGUGGCCGUAGGGGCGGUCACGGGUGCCCUCCUCGAACACGCGCACGAUCACCGCCUUCCGCCCCGCGUACCGCCCCUGCAGCAGGAUCACCGCCUUCCCCGGCUUCAGGAACUUCACCAUCGCGGCGGCUUGGUACGGAUCUCCUUCUCCUUCGCCGGUGUGGUUGGUCGCCGCCGCCGCCGCCGCCGCCGAGCUCACCUCUGCUGCUGCUGCGCCGCCGCCGGAUGGUGUUAGGGUUCGCGGAGAGGGGAGGGUUUUAUAGUCGGGAUGCGGCGAGGCUAGGGUUUGAGGUGGGGAACGAAUGGCGGAUUUGCCCCUGGGUUGCGGAUCGUUGGAUGUGAAUCGGACGGGUGUUUCCUGGGUAAGUUGGUGGUGGGGCCGAGGUGGCAGUGGGAGAUUGAAGGGCGAGUGGAGGGGGUAAAAUGGGGAAGGUUGAGCGGGUGCGCUGAGAUGGGCUUUGGGCGGAGAAAUAGGCCCAAUAAGACCCAUAUAGGCCGACCUAUCGGUCUGGCCCACUUGUCGGACGGACGGCCUUUCGGCGCCUGUUAGCAAAGCAGCAGUGGUUAUGUACAGAUUAUUUGAAAGAGUACUGCUAUAUAUACGACUCAGGUGGUGAUUGAAUCUUCUAAAGAUGAAGUUGAAGAUUAAGUGUUUUACGCAAAAUGAGGUGGUAAUAAUGUGUGUUUAAUUGAGUUUUAAUUACUACAAACUUGAAAAAUGGAUUAAUCUGAUAUUUUAUAACAACUUUCAUAUAGAAAGUUUUCGCACGAAACGCACCGUUUAGCAGUUUGAAAUGCGUACCGCGAAAAUCCAAAACUUCAUCUAGUCUUUGUAGAGGAAACGAAUGUGGCCUCAAUUGUACAACUCAUAUAUAUAACUAGAUAUAUGCAACGAUAGAUUAAUCGAAGGAGAGCAUGUUCAUAUGCACUGCAACCUUUUACAGCCGUCGAUCAAAUUCAGUCGGAUAGUUGGGUCAUAUGCAUAGCAAUUUCCUAUUUGAAAUUAGCAUGGCAUGUUUAGAUAAGUACUAGGAGUAUUUGUUUUCUGAAUGGCAGAUGAAUUUAAAUUGCUGGAGUCCCAAGAUGAUGAGAUUGCGAGAAGGGUAGGGGAUGAAGGCAUGAAGCUGCUCGAUGGUUUUUUUUUUCUUUGGGUGGUUGUGUGCUAAGCUGAAGUUCUGCUUUUCGAUCUGAUCUGGGUGGUGAUCUGCUUUGGAUCACUCUGGGAUUGAUGUCUAUGUUUGUUUUUCUCUUUGCAGUAGUUGAUUAGUUGGUUGUAAGAUAGUUUUCGUAUAUGCCUGAAGUCUCCCCCAACUAUGGUUGGAUGGCACCUGGUCAGGUCGUUUUCGAUGUUGUUUUAAAUCCUCUGAAUUUUUUGUAGCUUCCGUUUCUGGUAAUAGAAAUGGGGAGAGCUUGGCUCUCCUAGUUAAAAAAAAAAAAAAAAAAAACUUCUGAAUGAUGUCCAGUGGUGUUGGGUUGAACUAGUCAGUGCCACCGAUUUUUGGUUUGAAUUUUAGUUUGAUGUCAGAAUCAUGUUUAUGUACUAGUUCUCCAAAAAAUUUGGUAAGGUAAAAGUAUUUAUCGAGCGUUCAGUUUACUAUUAACAAACUACGCGAAGCAAACUAGGCUGUUAUUUUGCUUGCCUGUCCCUUUGGAUGUGCUCAAAUUUGUGCCUAUAUUUGCAGUGUUUCUGAUAGGACUUCCCUUCUUUUGUUGAAAUAAAACACAAGUUCACAGGAGCUGGAAAAGAUCACAAGUUUGUUAUGUACUCACAUACAUGUAAAUACCACUGUAAAAGGAGUGACACUGUAAAAAAAAUAUUCGUUUCAGUACACAUGCACAAACAUAUGGUUGGUUCGUCAGCUAAUUCAGUGCCAGCUCCAAGCUUUGGAAUCUCUGAACUGUUGGUAGCAUUUUGAGUUCUUGUUCUUCCACCUCCUUGACUUUGUUGCUCCACUUCGCUUUGCUGUUUUCAACUUGUUGGGUUGUCAAACAUCCGUUCUACCGGUUUUCCUCUGCUUUGGCACUUCCUUGAUGUUUUCGCUUGUUGGAGAAGAGGCGACUCAUCUUCUCUUGUUUUUUUUUUUUUUUUUUUUUUUGCUGUCUAUACAUCUUGUGACAGAAAAUCCCACCUCAUAUCAUUCGAAUUUUAAACCAUUGGAUAUGCUUCAAGAUUUAUGCAGAUCCUUUUAACCCUAGCUCCUCUCCUCCUCCUCCCGAUUCAGAUCGCACACCACCACCACUCCUCCGUCCUCGCGCGAUCCUCCGCCGCCACCGCCCCACCGCGCCGCCGCCCGCCUCGCCGGAAGGGGUCAACGGCGCCGGCGAGCCCCCUCCCCCUUCCCCCCUCUCCCCGUUCCCUCCUCUCCUCGAGGUGCCCCCGUCCCACCGUCUUCCCUGUCUCCGGCGGCUCCCCGCCACCGGAUCCACCACCUCCUAAUCUCAUGCUUUGUUUGCCCCUGCCGCCGACGCCGGCCCACUGCCUUCCUCCAUCCCCGCGGCUUCGGCGGCGCCGCCGCCGCCUCGCCGCCUGCCGGAGUCCACCACCCACCGCCAGUCCUCCGCCCACGGCCAUCCCUCUAAGCCCCAAGGAAACCCCCCGCUUCCCCCUCCCUCAACCCCCCUCCUACCCUCACCCCAACCCCAAACCCUAACCCGCCGGAGUUGGGGUGUCGCCAGCGCCGGAGAAGAAGGGAGCCCACCGGAGUUGGAGGAGAGAAGCCGAUGCAUGAAUCUUGGCAUGAAUCCAAUGGUCCAAGAUCUGUAAGAUUUCUUCCCCAAAUUUCAUUCGAAUGCCAUAUAGCAAUCCCUUUUUUUUUCAUCUGCCUUAGUGGCACAAACAAGAACAUGGAGGAUCUUUAAUGGCAUGAGACUAUGAGAGUGAACUGUGAAUUUUACAGAAGUUUUGAUUUGUUACUCGCCUUUCAAGUUUGGCAGAGUAGAUCACACAGGUUUAAAAAACCAAGGCUAAUAAACCACGACACAUUCAAGCAAAAUCUCUGUCAGAAACCGUGCAAAACUGAACCUUUUAUGUAUUACGAAGUUGACAUGCUCGGAUAGCUUCGGUCUCCUUCAGACAAAGGAACAAAAAAAAAUUACAGCAAUUCUCUGCUUCAAAACAUGAUAAACCCAAUCACCUCCCAUGUUAUUACUACUAAUUAUUGUUUAAUUUUCCUUUCGCUCUAUCUCGAAUUCAUUCUUCGAUUCUAAAGAAAGAAAUCGGUGAGAAACCAAACAAACAAUACAUGAGCCGAGCCGAGGUGAGCGAUUCAGUGCCUCCCACGCUUCUUCGCGGGCUUGCAGUCGUCGUCGUCAUCUUCGAAGCCGGACACCUCGUCGUCGUCGUCGGAGUCUUCGUCGAGGUCGUCGUCGAACUCCCCGUCGCUUCCCAUGGCCUCAAACUCAUCGUCCUCGUCCUCGUCCUCGCUCUCGCUCACCGCCUUCGCCUUCCGCCCCGCGGCGGCGUACCCUCUCCGCGCGUGCAGCGCCGCGGGGGUCGCGCCCGCGGGGUGGAGCAGGAAGCGCGCCACGGCGGCGGAUGGCGGCGCCGCCGCUGCCAGGCGGGGAGCGGCGGGCCCAACGGCGAGAUGCGCCGGUGGUGGGCGUGGGGCGGCCGCGGCGAGGCGGCGGAGGGCGAGGGAGGCGGCGCGCUGCAUGGUUGGGGGUUGGCGGCGGCGGUGGCGGCGGUGGGGGUGAGUGGGAGGGUGGCGGCUAGGGUUUUGGAGCGGGAUUUGCGCGAGGGCUGGGGAUUUUUAAUGGCGGGGAAGUGGGAGGGAGCGCGGGCGUGGCUGGAAGAUUCCAGAGACCGCAAGCGGCUCCCGCGCUCUACUCUGAUGAUCUGAUCUGGUCGCCGCCGCCACCGGCGUGCGUGUGCCUGCUUUUUCAUUUUUCUUUUCCUAUUCGGGCUUUGUUGGGCCGGUGAAUGCUUGUUGGGCCAUUGAAGAUCAGGAACAGGUUAGAUUGGGGGAAUAAGUCCACAUUGACUCCCUUCAAAGUGACCCGAAUCUAAUCCAUGACCCUAAACGGCAAAACCGAAUAUCUCGACCCCCGAACUAUUGGAACUGGUGCAAUUUGACUCCCUUGGCGGUUUUGGAGGGCUGUUUCGCUGACGCGGUGCUGGCGUGGCGGUGUUGACCUAGUCUGUGAGGUUGACGUGGCGCUUAGAUGGCACGGAAGUUGACAGCCACGCAGCGAGCUCGAGCGAUGACUCGAUGACGUCGUCGUUGCAAUGCUGAAUGGCGUAGCUUGAUGGCGGCCCUCGCCCCUAACCAUCUUGACAGGCUCGACAUCAGCCAUGUCAUGAGCCUGCCGCAUAUGUCGAAUCUUGUUGUUGCGAUCGGCGAAAAGGCCAGAGUGCCGGAUCUUAUUGUCGCGGACAGCGGGAGGCAGCGGAGGGAGCAGGGAGCUCGUUCCCCCGGUGAGGACGUUGUGUCGGUGGAGGUGAGGACUAGGGGUGGAGGAGGUCGCCGGCGUGGAUCCAUAAAGGAGAUCGGCUCCGGUCUCCCCCCAGCACCCUUAGGCCACGCCGGCUCCCAGAUCUUGGCCCGCUGAAGCCGUCUACCGCCGUCCCCCCGCUCGAUCUCGUCGGCGCUGUCGUCCUCUCCCGCCUCCUUGCCGGCCAUCGAGCUGCCCGCUGCCGCUCCAGAACCCGCCGUUAGCUCCAACCCACCGGCGCUGCCGCUUCAACUCCCGGCGGCCGCCACCGCUCUAGCCCCCGCCCGCCGCCGCUCUAGCCCGUGCUCCCCGCGACCGGCCGAAGGGGAGAGAGAGACAAAGAAAGAGAGAAGGGAGGAAGAGGGGAGGAAGAAGAAAGAGAUAGGAUGACAUGUGGGGCCCACAUGUCAUUGGGCCCCAUAAUUUUUUGUGUGUGAAUGACAAACGGGUCCCACAUAUAUGUUUUUAAUUCAAAUGCCACCUAAGCACCACGUCAACCCCACAGACUAGGUCAACACCGCCACGUCAGCGAAAUCGCCCUCCAAAACCACCAAGGGAGUCAAAUUGCAGCGGUUUCUAUAUUUCGGGGGUCGAGAUAUCCGGUUUUACGGUUUAGGGUCAUCGAUCAGAUUCGGGUCACUUUUAAGGGAGUCAAAGUGGACUUAUUCCUAGAUUGGAUCGUGAGGCAGCACGACAACAAACGGGUGAUUUUAGCAUGGAAAAAGUACACCAAAGGUCCCUCAACUUUUUAUCGAGUUACAAAAUCGUCCCCCAACCGCAAAACCAGAUUUAGGACAUCCCUCAACUUACAAAUCCGUUAACUUUAGGUCCUCCGGUGGUUUUGACCAUAAUUUUGUCUGACGUGGCAGCUGAGUCAGCGUGAGACCAACGUGAUCCCCACAUGUCAGGGUGUCCACAUCGUCACCCUAUUUCUUUCCCCUCUUCUCUCUUACUCUUCUCGUCUAGGACUCUGGGUAGGGCGACUGACGGAUGGGGAGGAGACCGGCGGGGUGGGGCGGGGCGAGGCGGGAGAGGUGGUCCGGCCACAAUUGCUAUCUCGCGCCAGUUGCUUAUGUCGCGCGCACGUGGCAAGCCAACUGCACAUGCAUGCAUGCACCACGGUCUCCAGUCGUGCAGAUGCAUUACACACAUGCAUGCAUGCAUCUAUACGAUCUUUCUUUUUUUUUAUGCUUUCAUCUUAAUUAAUUUAGGAUGUAGUGAAAGUUAUCAAAAUUUCUAUUAUAAGAUAAUUUUAAUAAAAAUAUUUUUUAUAAUGCAAAUUUAAAAACUCGACAUGAAAGUUUUUAAAUCGGAGUUGAAAGUUUUCAAAUCUCGAGUUGAAAGUUUUCAAAUCCAACUUGAAAGUUUUCAAAUCUCGAGUUGAAAGUUUUCAAAUCUGAGUCGAAAGUUGUCAAAUCUCGAGUUGAAAGUUUUUAAAUCUGAAUUGAAAGUUUUCAAAAUUUAUCUUGCAAAUUUAAAUUUCGACUUGAAAUUUUUCAAAGUUUAAGUUGAAAGAUUUCAAAAUUUGACUUUAAAGUUUAAAUCUUAAGUUGAAAUUUUCAAAUCUAACCUGAAAGUUCUCAAUCUAUUAGAAAAAAGAAAAAGUUUUUAGGUACUAAUUAUGAUUAGCACUAAUCACUAAUCACGUCAUCAUUAGUGCUAAUCACAUCUUUGUGACGGGGGCAGCGUACGCACGAGUUCCGUUCGCGGCGCGUAUGCGCGCGUUAGGACUCCCUUGGUCCGGCAGCCGGCGACGACGGUGCUUGUGUUGGCAACUUUUUUUGACAAGCGGUGAUCCUAGAGUCGCCAACCACCUCGAUCUAGCAAAGAGCUAAACCUAGAUGGGUUUUGAUAACUAAACUAGCUAGCGGAGCCGAUUUCUAGAUAACUACCCGUCUCGUGGGCAAAACGGAAGGUUUUCAGGACAAACCUACAAAGAGAUGUCGCACUCUCGCAGCGGCGGCGGACGGUUUACGGCGCAAACCGACAAAGAUGGAAAAACUAAGAGAAAACUAAAAGCAAUAUGAAAAACGAUUCGAUUGAUUGAUUGUAGAUUGGUUUUUUACAAUGAACCGGCCAUGUCCCUUAUAUAGGGGUUGGUCUUGCCCUCUACAGGCCCUCCUCCACGUCCAACUCGGAGUAGAAACCAAAGGAAACCCGAAACAUGCUUUCCCGAGCAAGAAAACCUCGAGACCCGAUGAAACACAGUUAGACUCGGACCUGCCGGUCAGACCGGCCACACACCGCCGGUCUGACUGGCCCUCAACCGGUGGUCUGACCGCCCAACACACGGCGGUCAGACCGGCCCACUCGAAGGAAACCGGUAGACUUCCAAAUUUUGGCAAUCUUUCCUAUUUUAAUCCUAGGUGCCAAAUUUGGGUGUAAACAUCUUGGUCCCAGCAAGACGCCGUCGUCGUGCCUAUCCAUGCGUCCUGCCGCUCCAGCUCCCGGCGGCGGCGGCGCUUGCACGGCUCCGGCAGCGGCUACUCUGACAAUGCGUAGUCUUCGGCCGGCCAUGCCGCCGCCACGUUCGAGCCCGUCCCCACUGCAGCUUGGUGUGUUGGUGGUGGUUUGCCACCGGCGGGGACACCAGAAGCGCACGGUGGUGAAGAGGGCUGAGGCCAGGGGAGACUGGAGGCCACCGCUACUGCCGUGGCCCGUGCUGUCGCCGCCGCCGCCGUUGUCCUUCCUCCCGUGCCCUGCCUCCCGCAACUCCAGCUCCAGCUCCCGACGACGACGGCGCUUGGUCCUGGCGAGCCGCCGCCGUCGCGCUGUCCCUGCGUCUUGUCGCUCCAGCUCCCAGCGGUGGCGGCGCUUGCAAGUCUCCGGCAGCAGCUGCUCCGACCACGCCCGGUCCUCGGCCAGCCACGCAACCGCCACAUUCGAGCCCGCCCUCACUGCAGCUUGAUGUGCUGGUGGUAGUUUGCCACCGGUGGGGAGACCGGAGGCACACGGUGGCGAAGACGGGCUGAGGCUGGGGGAGACUGGAGGCCGCCAUCACCGUCGUGUCCCGUUGUCACGCCCUGAAGUUUCCCCCUUUUUUCUUGCUUUAAAAAUUGGUUAAAUAAAUCGUCCGAAAAAAUUGUUUUAAUUAACCUAGAGCUAAAUCCCUAAUUAAUAAAUGCAUUCAAUAAUUGGAAAGGGCAUUAUGGGAUUUUUUUUUCUUGGGUUCCACAUGUCACAAUUGAUUAACAGGAUUUUUAGUGGAAUUUUCAUAGCCCUAUAAAUAAUUUUAACCAAUUAAAAUUCAUUAACCGCGAUAUUUUAAAUCCCAGGAAUUCAUUUCCCUUUUUCCUCUUUCUCCUUUUCCUUCUUUUUCUUUCUUGGGCCGUCGGCCCGGUCCAUCUUGCCCGGCCACGCUCACCCUCCUUCUUUUUGGGCCGGCCCGUGCCCCUCCCUUCCUCCCUAGGGUUGCCGACAGGUGGGGCCCACCUGUCGGUCGUCCUAACCUCCAGCCGCCCGCGCCUAGGCCAGCAACCGCCGCCGCCUGCUCCAGCCGCCCACGUCGCCCGCUUCCUCCACCCCACUCCGCGCCUCCCCACGUCGCCGCCCACCUCCUACACCUCUCCCGUACGCGUGCAAGCUCGCAUAGAGGCGCGAUUCAUUUUUGAAUCCCCUCUCUCUCUCUUCCUCCCCACUCCCCCACAUCGCCGGCGAAAUAGGGAGGUUUCCCGGCCACGUCCGCCCCCUCCCGCACCUAUAAAUCGCUCCCCCGAGCCCCCUCAACCUUUUUCCGCUCUCGCCACGCUCGCCCGUGCACUCCGCCGCUCUCCCCACGCCACACCCGAGCUUCGCCGCCACCGCCCAUCUCCGGCCGCGCGCCACCGCCGCUAGAGCCGCCGUCGCGCUCACCGAGUCCGCCCGCACCUUGGCCACCACUUGCUUGCCGCCGAACGACGCCGGAGCUCUGAUUCCCUCGCCUCGCCGGUGAGCCCACCAUUUUUGCCCCUUUUCGGCCGGCGAUGUAAGCUACCGUGGUUGUCCUCUCUGCCCUAACUUCUCUCCUCCCCUCCUCUAGGUGUCGUCGCCGCCUGUCCGCCCCCUCUGCUCGUCGGGUCGUCGUCACCGCCUUCGCCUCCCGCUCCGGCCGCUGUGUCGCCGGUGAGGACUCCCCCCUCCUUUUCUUCCCCUUCCCGCGUGCACCGCCGCCUUUGGCUGCGCCGCCGCAUCGGCCGUGCGCCGCCGCUCCCCAUGGCCGGCCGGCCGGCUUUGUGCCGAGCCGAGCCGUGCCUAGCCGCCACCCACGCUUGUGUGCUUUGUUUGUCGCGUAGAUUUCGGCCGUUUUGUCAAUCCGCGGUUCCUCAAAGACGUUGUUGUGGUCUCAUCAGUGCGAGAGCAAGGCAAGUCAUGCAUUACAAUUGAUCAUAUUGUACUCAAUUUACAAAUAUCCCGCAUUUCUAUUAAAUGUUGCAUUCUUUUACAAUGUCAUGUGGAAUGAGUCCUAUUACUCAGCCAUAUAUUGUUUACCUUAUGCCAUUGAUAAUUUGGGUGUCAAAAUGACUAGAUGUUGGUUUAGGAAAUGCUUAGUCAUGCUUAGCUCAAGUAGUACACAAAUGGGAAUCACAUUAUUACAUAGACUUUGACUAUUAGCAUAGCUUUGUAUUGGUGCCACCGCAAUGGUGUUAGUUAAUUAAAAUACACUGAAUGGUGGGCUGUGGGUGCAUGGUUUUGCUAGUCGCACCCAUGGCAAUUAAGGACCGGUUUGCUGGAAACCCUGGGAGACUUACCGUGCUUACCACAAGCGGGAGUGGGUAACUGCUUGAUCUGAAGUAUAGCUCGACCCUUUCCUAGGCACCGGUGGUGAGGGUGGGCGUGAUGGAGUUGGGUUGGACGGGGUAUCCGGUUGUCCAGCUGCCGGAUUCACCGCGGCGCACGAGGGGACUGCCCAACUCCGGAUUCACCACUGCCUUUUGAGGGGUGGGGGUGAAACCUUAGCGUAGUGUGGAUGGUUAGGGAGGGUUAUGCGAAGGGUCUUUUCACGAUUUCCCCCUUUGUAGUAUCAUGGUGAUACUUCGGGGCAUGGCGACGUGUCUUGUGGGUACAGUUGUACACCUCUGGCCAGAGUAAAACUAUUCGAAUAGCCGUGCCCGCGGUUAUGGGCGAUCAAUCAGAUUCACCGUGAUUAGUCUCACCCCUAGUUUAGCUUAAUGAACUGGUGUAGUUCAGAUUGUUGGUUGGGCCUGUUGCAACGUGGUAUAGUGUUGGACAGUGAUUGGUUAAUACUGAUUAAUUACUACAAUUGUUUUUACUGCUUUCAACUACUGAUUUUAAAUGCCUGCUUUAUGCAAAUGAACCCUUAGCCUCCUUUGGUUAUAUCCUGCAUCAUACCUCCUCUUCCGGUAUGACUUGCUGAGUACAGUGGGUAGUACUCAGUCUUGCUCUCUUUUCUCCCACACCAGAGCUGAAGAUCUUCCUAGUUGGAGCUGUCUUGUUAGGGUUGGUUUCGUCGCUGCCGUCAAGGGUUGCCUGUGGAGUGGAGUCGCCCGUUGCAGAAGUCAAGCUUCCAAGUUUAGCUCGUUUUAUCUUUUCCGCUGCAUUUGUAAUCUUUUAUAUUUUUGUAAGACGUGGAUCUGUAUGUCAACAAUUAUCGUUUGUAUACCCUGGCUGGUCCUGGACAGGGAUUUAAUGCACAUUCAGCUUAGAAAUUCUUGUUUGUGAAUUUCUGGGCAUGACACCUGUGCUCCCCCCUUCUCCCACGUAGCCGGCGCCCUCCCCUUCUCCCGCCUCGCCCCGGCGACCUCCUCCCCGCCCGCCGGCCGGCUGCCAAGAGAGGAGAAAAGUGAAAAGUGAGAGAGGGAGAGAGAAAGAAAGAGGGGAAAGAGAGGGGCGCUGAUGUGGACACCCUAACAUGUGGGGCCCUUGUGGGUCCCACGCUGACUCAGCUGCCACGUCAGACAAAACCGGGGUCAAAACCACCGAAGGACCUAAAGUGAAUGGUUUUGUAAGUUGAGGGAUGUUCUAUAUCUGGUUUUGCGGUUGGGGGACGAUUUUGUAACUCGAUGACAAGUUGAGGUACCUUCGAUGUACCUUUUCCUUUUAGCAUGGAGAGGCACUUUUGUCCUGCCCAAUUGUAUUAGGAGGGAAUAAGUCCACUUUGACUACCUCAAAAUAUAGGUCUAAUUUGGUUCGUACCCCUGAUCUGCAAUGCUGGAUAUUUUGACCUCCCAAUUAUUAAAACAGGUGUAGUUUGACUCCCUUAAUGGUUUUGAGAGUGGGUUUUCGCUGAUGUGGCACGUUCAUCAGGAAGGAGGAGGUGUGAACGAGGAUGAUAGUGGCAAUGAGAUGGGAGGCUGACGAAACCGUCGAUGCACCAUUGCCGACUGCUGUCACACUCCUCGUCACCAUCGUGCCGCCGACGACUGCCAUCACUGGCUCUCCCUGAUAGCUCAGCGGUGUGGGGAAAGUGGAGGAGAGGAGAAAGAAAGGAGGCAUGUGGGCCCCAUUGAUAACUUAGUAGGUUGGACCAAGUCAACGUGCUACAUGAGCGAAACCGCCCUCAAGAGCAGCCGAGAGAAGCAAAUUACACCAAUUUUAAUAGUUUGGUGGUAAAGAUAACCGAUAUAUGAAUUAGAAUGUUGGACCUCUAUUCAAGGGAGUCAAAGUGGACUUAUUCCUAUUGGGAGUUAAUGAAAUAUAAAAGUUACUAGGGCUGGUUUACCCCUAAAAAGGGUAGAGGUAUUCUUUAGACAGGGUUGACCAAAUAUUUAUGUAGUGAACGUCCAUUGAUAUUUAUCAAAAUAGUAAAUGCCUCAAUGGAAGGUUUUGGUUUAGGGCAUGCUUAGUAGGGCUCCAACUCCUAAAUUUAACUCUAAGAGUCGGAUCUGAAGUGAAGCUGUGGAGCAGCCUAAAACAAAUUCCACCUAUUUAGUUUAUUUUGUGAGAGCACUUUAACCCGCUCCGCUCCCUUUUUUGGUGGAACUGAAACCGUUUGAUUGGGCUCCAGAACUGGAGUUGGAACUCUGCCAAACAAGCCCUUAACAAGUAGCAUGUACCAGAAAUGCCAACGGAUUGUUAUUGACGGUCGUUAUAGACCAAUUCCAACCGUCAAUAUAUCCAAAAAUAAAGGAGAACUAGCAAUGCUUCAUGCAUAUUUGUUUAAGAAUAAUCUAUUUCCAUUUAUACUUGGCAAAAUAUUGUUUGCAGGAGAACUUCACAUAAUCGGAGGAAGAAUAAAAGAAAAUAACAUCAAAGACACACCUCCGACCAAUCAGUCGCAAGUACAAGUAUUGAAGGGCCCAUAGGUCAGGUGAAACCGCCAUAAAAUGGGUCAUAACCGCCAUAAGGACCCACCAGUCAGCCUCCUGGACAAAGGAUAGGCCAGGAGGUGGGGCCCAGGGUUCGGUUGAACCAAGCCGAACCGCCAUCAGGCCCUUUCUGACAAUUCCAUGAUAGCUUCUCAAAGACGGUUGCGGGGCAUUUCUGACAAUUCCACAACUGUCAUAUGAACCCUAUAAAAGGAGCUCACCUUCUCCACUCCAACACACACCAAGAAGAAGCAAUCAAGAGCUCUCUCUAGUUUAUUUACUUUGUUCUAGUGCUAGUGGAGUAGAAUUAGAACAGUCUCUUAGUUUUUGAAGUCUUCCGGAGAUUUCGGAUAAGGCUUUAGUAGCUCUUCUCUCUCUUGUAAGACUUAAUUCAUUAAUAAAUUAUUCUUCUUGUCAUAGUUUCGGUCCUUUACUUCAUUUAUAUAAUUAUUCGAGUACCGGCUUUAGCUUAUACUUGUCUCGUAAUAAUUAUGUAGCUAGCUUACUGGAGAUAUGCAAUGGUAUUGGUUUAAUGUUCAUUUAUAUAUUGCUCUAUGUGAUCUGCAAAGAUGUAGAGUAGUAUUUAAUAAUGUAAGCGCAAUGCUUAGAUUAUCAGAUAUCAUUAAAUAGGGUUAUAUGCCACGGGUCUAUAUACAGGUAGGCCGCUGAUGGUGACAGCUCAGUACGAGUAUUCCUCCACAUGCGUAUAUAAUAUAAGAGAAUUUCCUGGUGUGGGUACUCCUCCGUAUUCAUUACCGGUUGGAUGGCCACGACGGGUUAUCGUAAGGAACUCGACAAUUAGGGGUGGUUUCUCGAUAUACCAGGAGGGCAUAGUUAGGGAUAUUGGCUGCAUAAUUGUAAAAUAGCAAGUGUAGACUAAAAUGACUAUACUAGAGUUCAGAAAUUAUUUUUUUCUUAUUUUUUCUCCACUUAGUUUAGAUUAUUAUUUUAAUAAAAGUAUUCUGGUUAGUUUCUUUUGUGUGUCAACCUACCAUAUUCUUGAAUCAAUUAACCCAUGAAUUAGACUUUGAUCUAUAUAAGUGAUAUAAAUUAUCAGCAUAGUACUCUCUUAUCAUAUCAUCCCUUGUGAUUAAAUAAAUACGAUAUAUACCUUGGAAUAUUUCCGGUGAAAUGUUACAGCGGUAUAUCCGUAUGCCUGCAGAUUAUAUCUGUAACCGUAAAGAAUACCGAGUAAUGUUUCAAGAGUCAUUGCUGGGAAUUACUAUAUUCCUAGUAAUGACUUUAAGAAAUAUCAACACACGCCGGAGUGCUGCCAUCGCCGCCACCGCCGCCGCCGCUGCUACUUCUCCACGGCGAUGUGCGUCAUCUACUGGUGACGGUGAGGAUGACGACAUGAGAGAGGAGGACAAAAAUAGUGAUGGGAGUGACAUAGUUUCAAUUUUAAAAUUUUUCAGUGACAUCCAACCAAUAACGCGAACUAUAAUGAUAUUUUUUUCAUAUACCAUAUACCAUAUUCAGAGUACCGUGGAUCAAAUUAGAGUACUGUAUACGAUUGUAGCUGUCUGAACGGCUAUGCAUGCACUGAAGUGUGGCUUUCCAACGGUUGAAUAUCCCACCUGUCAUCCCCCCCAACUUAUACAUAUUCUUACACUGAAAAUAGGCCAUUUCCAAAGUUUGGUCGAGUCAGCAAGAUCCAUGGCAUAGCUGGAGUAGGUAUCCAAGGCUGCACGGUGGCACAUGCACCAUGCCCCGACAAAGUGGGCCCUCACUAAACUGGCACGCAUACAUGGCCCAGUCCAGCAGUAGACCACAGAAGAUCCAACACGAAGCAGUCAGGCCCGGAAAACAACAACUCACGGAGCACAUGACCACUGGGCCCCAUCCAUCCCCUUACAUUGUUGCAUGCCCAACGCUAAAGAAACAGAUCAACACAGCACCGAUUCAUUGUGUCAAUGCCUCAAUGGUACAUGUUAACAACUGCACACAUACAUGGACAUAUGUGCAAGAAAAGAUUGUGCAAACCUUUUGAAAUUUUCAGAAUAUUUAUAGAGAUAUAUCAUGAAAGAAAGAACAAUAACCAAUCAAUGAAUUAAUAAUGCAUAUGCUUCCAAGAUGAACAAAACUGGCGAUAAUAUACAGAUGCCAUACAUACAUGUCCUCACACUGCAUAUAAUUAAUUUAAGUACAGACAAAAAUUAUAGGCUUACACGUCUAACCAUAAAGAGGGGAAGAAAUGGUAGAGAAAAAUAAUGAACAACAAUAAUGGAAUAUCUGCAUCAUCAUGCAUAUGUGUAAGAGCAAAGAAUGGUGGUGGUGACUGGUGACAUGGCACAACGACGACAUCGAUCAUCCCUCUCUAGCUAGGGCUUGAGGCGUCCAUCAAUAAUGGCGGCGAUGAACCCUAGCUAGCUAUAGCUAGUUAGGCCUUUGGUGCCUCCUCCUCCUCGGCCUUCGCCGGCGCCGCCUCAGCGGCCGCCGGCGUCGCUGCGGCCUCGACUGGGGGCUCGGCCUCGGCGGCGGCAGGUGCGCUCUCACCGGCGGCUGCAGCUGGCUCGUCGGCGGGGGCGGCGGCCUCUUCUUCUUUCUUCUCCUCGGCUUCUUCCUUCUUCUCCUCGCCGGCGGCGUCGGUGGCGGCGGCGGCGGCGGCGGCUUCCUCCUUCUUCUCCUCUUCGGCGGCGGCGGCCGUAGCCUCCUUGGGCUUGAUCUCCUCCUCGUCGGCGGGGAGCAACGUGGAGACCUUCUCGAAGGUGGCGAACACCGGGCCGGAGAGCAGCGCCGGGCCGACCUUGGCGAUCCCCUCGCUCAGUUGCUUCGCUCCGGGGAACUCUGAUCAAUC